GGAGAGAUGGCUCAAUGGUUAAGAGCACUGACUGUUCUUCCAGACGUCCUGAGUUCAAUUCCCAGCAACCACA
This 73-nucleotide transfer RNA is filed under the name Mus musculus (house mouse). Its description in RNAcentral is "tRNA-Asn". Lineage: Eukaryota; Metazoa; Chordata; Mammalia; Rodentia; Muridae. The record is from RNAcentral.